AGCGUGGCAACUGGUCGUCUUGCAACGUUUGUGAAUGUUGCAACAACAUCCUAUUGCCAUGAUUGACAACGGACAUCUAUGGUUGCAACAAAUGCCAACACUUGCAACGAGAAAUAGCCAUCGGUUGCAAGUACUUCUUGCAACGUACUUUUUUGCAACCAUUGCCAACGAAUGUGAUUUGGUGGUAACAUCUACUUGUUGCAACCAAAUUGGCUCUAUCGCAAUGUUUUCUCGUCCUUGCACAAGGGUUAGAAUUUAGUAGUGGUAACAUCUUAAGGUACUUGACUAUCGCUUUUAUAAGUUUCUCCUUGGUUCUGGCGUUCACAUAAAAUAAAGAGACAAACAUGUAUGAUUUGUAGCACCAAAUUAAUCAACCCAAUUAAUUCAACAUAUUUAGUCCUUUAAUCUUUGUUCUUAGUACUACCUUCGUGAUCCCACAC
Molecule: long non-coding RNA, 440 nt
Filed under: Sorghum bicolor (sorghum)
Lineage: Eukaryota; Viridiplantae; Streptophyta; Magnoliopsida; Poales; Poaceae
Description: long non-coding RNA (SBIC_LNC000712)
Source: RNAcentral